This 483-nucleotide ribosomal RNA is filed under the name uncultured Acidobacteriota bacterium. RNAcentral describes it as "bacterial SSU rRNA". It matches the Rfam family "Bacterial small subunit ribosomal RNA", at positions 9 to 524 of the family's 1533-position model. The record is from RNAcentral. Lineage: Bacteria; Pseudomonadati; Acidobacteriota.
GAGUUUGAUCGUGGCUCAGAAUCAACGCUGGCGGCGCGCCUAACACAUGCAAGUCGAGCGAGAAAGUGGAGCAAUCCAUGAGUAAAGCGGCGUACGGGUGAGUAACACGUGGAUAAUCUACCCUCUAGUGGGGAAUAACCCUGGGAAACCGGGGCUAAUACCGCAUAAGCACGAGAGUGGAAAGCAGCAAUGCGCUGGAGGAGGAGUCCGCGGCCGAUUAGCUAGUUGGCAGGGUAAAAGCCUACCAAGGCAAAGAUCGGUAGCCGGCCUGAGAGGGCACACGGCCACACUGGCACUGAAACACGGGCCAGACUCCUACGGGAGGCAGCAGUGGGGAAUCUUGCACAAUGGGGGAAACCCUGAUGCAGCGACGCCGCGUGAGCGAUGAAGCCCUUCGGGGUGUAAAGCUCUUUCGGCAGGGAAGAUGAUGACGGUACCUGCAGAAGCAGCUGCGGCUAACUACGUGCCAGCCGCCGCGGUAAG